Long non-coding RNA from Siniperca chuatsi (mandarin fish), 1474 nucleotides. RefSeq lists it as uncharacterized. The transcript is spliced from 4 exons. The record is from RefSeq and is a predicted model, not a curated record. Lineage: Eukaryota; Metazoa; Chordata; Actinopteri; Centrarchiformes; Sinipercidae.
UUCAUCAGCCAGCCAAAGGCUGGAUGUGACGCUUUCUCUGUCAUCUGUCGCCUCUGGACUGUAGUCGGUGGAAUAGUACACUCUGUCCUCAUGUGAAGUCAUCUGCUUUGCUGCAUCCACAAACUGGAGGAUGGCAAUGGCUGCCCAUGGGACGUGAAGGUCAACUUGGCUUUUUGGCCGAAGUUGGGCGGAAAGGCUUUUGUGGUGCAUUUUUGUCCCUCAUAUUUAAAUUGUGUCAUUUGUUAGAGCGUACAUUUAGCUUGCUCCUCGUGGAGCUGUGGGUAUACUUUGAGUAUUUCAGAAUGACACUAAACAAACACUUGUAUAUCCUCUGCCAGAGUGUUAAUCAGAGCAGCAGGCUGCCAGAUCCAAUCUGUAAGCCUCUGUCUGCCAGCUUGUGUCCAUACUUUAGAGAUGGUAUGUGUUUCAUGUUGAAGCCAGUGUCACUUUGGCCGAACCGUUAAUACUGCUAGAGCCUACUCUGUGAAGGUACGGCCAUUGGAGUGUCCUUGUUGACUUAAACAUUUAAUGUACGGCAUAUAUACACUGGUAUGUGACCUUCACCAGACCGUGGGUAGCGUGGCAACAUGGUUGCCGCUGUUCGUCACGUGGUGAGCGCGUGUGACGGGGCUCUAAUGUAAAGAGUGCAAAGGCACGAGCUAGAACGUACCUCUACAGAUUUUGUGAGUUUGCGCCACGAGCCGUUCGGCUGCCGCGGCGGCUCUCUUCAUCACUGAUAACGUUACAUAAGCAUACAUGACAAAUGUUAGCUGUCGCUGUUAGCAUAUGGGAUUGUUUUUGACAAAGAGAAAAUCUUAAGCUGGUAAUGUCCAGACUGCUCCAGGAAACACCCUUUGGCGUCUGUAUCCUGACAAAAAGCCCAAGCCUAAAACUACUGCAAGAAUGAGCCCUUUAUAUCCACGGAUGUCGCCAUGUUGCACCGCCAUGUUUCUACAGUAGCCCAGAACGGACAAACCAAACCACUAUAUUACGGUGUGAGGUAGAGUGGAUCACCUUGCAGGCGUCAAACAUGUGCUGACAGGCAUAUUUUUGACAAUCUAAAUCUAUUGUGCUAAAUCCAAUCAGAGUGGGAGGCAUCAUGCACACCAGGAGAGUGCCUCAGGGUGCUUUCUCACCAAUCCCUUUUGCACUCAGAGAGCUGAAGCUUAUGGGCUUGCGCAGCACAUGAUUCCUAUCCUGUAGGAUCUUUUCAAAGCCACCAGGGUCUGUCCAGGGUCACUGAUAUGGGGACACAUGGAGGCAAAGCAGCUUGUGUGAAAGGUUGAUUUCGAUUUGUCAUCCCCUUGAAUCAUCUGUGUUCUGUCACUGUAUUCCUAUCAGAAAAUCUGAACCUCUAGUGCAUGUGGAGGUCAAAGUGAGAACACAUAAUAAAGGCUCUAUUAAGGCAAACUUAUGUGUUCUCAAAUAAUUACUGAGAGGUUUGAGAAGGAUCUAACAUGUGACCUUUGACCUU